AACUAUAUAUUAUAAGUUUUCCUUGUAACUUCUCUGUUUUUUUUCAUCUAUUUUAGUUGUUGACUAUUAGUCCACCUUGUUGAAGCAGUAGAGAAUAUUUUGUUGCUUCAAUAUAAUAUAAAGUUAUUAGUAACUAAAAGAUCAUAAUCCUAGAAGAAGAAGAAAUACAAAGGGGAAAAUGACAACUACUACAAAGAAGAAAACAAUUCCUGGC
This is a long non-coding RNA of Solanum tuberosum (potato), 214 nucleotides long. RefSeq lists it as uncharacterized. The transcript is spliced from 3 exons. The record is from RefSeq and is a predicted model, not a curated record. Lineage: Eukaryota; Viridiplantae; Streptophyta; Magnoliopsida; Solanales; Solanaceae.